Molecule: non-coding RNA, 101 nt
Organism: Chelonoidis abingdonii (Abingdon island giant tortoise)
Lineage: Eukaryota; Metazoa; Chordata; Testudines; Testudinidae
Source: RefSeq, a predicted model, not a curated record
CUGGGAUGUCAGGAUCCUGGAGCCGCUGUCACCUCUGCACUAGGGCAGUGUUCUGCACCCCGCUGCUGCUGGCUGACAUUCUCCACCUUUUGGCAAAAGGA